This 777-nucleotide ribosomal RNA is filed under the name uncultured bacterium. RNAcentral describes it as "bacterial SSU rRNA". It matches the Rfam family "Bacterial small subunit ribosomal RNA", at positions 609 to 1387 of the family's 1533-position model. The record is from RNAcentral.
UCAACCNUUGUAGGCUUUGGAAACUGUUUAACUUGAGUGCAGAAGGGGAGAGUGGAAUUCCAUGUGUAGCGGUGAAAUGCGUAGAUAUAUGGAGGAACACCGGUGGCGAAAGCGGCUCUCUGGUCUGUAACUGACGCUGAGGCUCGAAAGCGUGGGGAGCGAACAGGAUUAGAUACCCUGGUAGUNCACGCCGUAAACGAUGAGUGCUAGGUGUUAGGUCCUUUCCGGGACUUAGUGCCGCAGCUAACGCAUUAAGCACUCCGCCUGGGGAGUACGACCGCAAGGUUGAAACUCAAAGGAAUUGACGGGGGCCCGCACAAGCGGUGGAGCAUGUGGUUUAAUUCGAAGCAACGCGAAGAACCUUACCAGGUCUUGACAUCCCGAUGCUAUUUCUAGAGAUAGGAAGUUUCUUCGGAACAUCGGUGACAGGUGGUGCAUGGUUGUCGUCAGCUCGUGUCGUGAGAUGUUGGGUUAAGUCCCGCAACGAGCGCAACCCUUAUUGUUAGUUGCCAUCAUUGAGUUGGGCACUCUAGCGAGACUGCCGGUAAUAAACCGGAGGAAGGUGGGGAUGACGUCAAAUCAUCAUGCCCCUUAUGACCUGGGCUACACACGUGCUACAAUGGCUGGUACAACGAGUCGCAAGCCGGUGACGGCAAGCUAAUCUCUGAAAGCCAGUCUCAGUUCGGAUUGUAGGCUGCAACUCGCCAACAUGAAGUCGGAAUCGCUAGUAAUCGCGGAUCAGCACGCCGCGGUGAAUACGUUCCCGGGCCUUGUANA